The sequence is a transfer RNA, 82 nucleotides long. It matches the Rfam family "tRNA". From Rfam's summary of the family: Transfer RNA (tRNA) molecules are approximately 80 nucleotides in length. Their secondary structure includes four short double-helical elements and three loops (D, anti-codon, and T loops).
GCGGACGUGGCGGAAUUGGUAGACGUGCUAGACUUAGGAUCUAGUGAGGCAGCUCGUGGGAGUUCGAGUCUCCCCGUCCGCA